AUUGAACGCUGGCGGCAGGCCUAACACAUGCAAGUCGAGCGGAUGAAGGGAGCUUGCUCCUGGAUUCAGCGGCGGACGGGUGAGUAAUGCCUAGGAAUCUGCCUGGUAGUGGGGGAUAACGUCCGGAAACGGGCGCUAAUACCGCAUAAGUCCUGAGGGAGAAAGUGGGGGAUCUUCGGACCUCACGCUAUCAGAUGAGCCUAGGUCGGAUUAGCUAGUUGGUGGGGUAAAGGCCUACCAAGGCGACGAUCCGUAACUGGUCUGAGAGGAUGAUCAGUCACACUGGAACUGAGACACGGUCCAGACUCCUACGGGAGGCAGCAGUGGGGAAUAUUGGACAAUGGGCGAAAGCCUGAUCCAGCCAUGCCGCGUGUGUGAAGAAGGUCUUUGGAUUGUAAAGCACUUUUGGUUGGGAGGAAGGGCAGUAAGUUAAUACCGUGCUGUUUUGACGUUACCAACAGAAUAAGCACCGGCUAACUUCGUG
This 484-nucleotide ribosomal RNA is filed under the name uncultured bacterium. Its description in RNAcentral is "partial 16S ribosomal RNA". It matches the Rfam family "Bacterial small subunit ribosomal RNA", at positions 30 to 507 of the family's 1533-position model. The record is from RNAcentral.